UACGAAGGGGGCUAGCGUUGCUCGGAAUCACUGGGCGUAAAGCGCACGUAGGCGGCUUCUUAAGUCAGGGGUGAAAUCCUGGGGCUCAACCCCAGAACUGCCCUUGAUACUGAGGAGCUUGAGUCCGGUAGAGGUGAGUGGAACUCCGAGUGUAGAGGUGAAAUUCGUAGAUAUUCGGAAGAACACCAGUGGCGAAGGCGGCUCACUGGCCCGGUACUGACGCUGAGGUUCUAAAGCGUGGGGAGCAAACAGU
This 253-nucleotide ribosomal RNA is filed under the name uncultured bacterium. RNAcentral's name for it is "partial 16S ribosomal RNA". It matches the Rfam family "Bacterial small subunit ribosomal RNA", at positions 524 to 776 of the family's 1533-position model. The record is from RNAcentral.